This is a long non-coding RNA of Bubalus bubalis (water buffalo), 547 nucleotides long. RefSeq lists it as uncharacterized. The record is from RefSeq and is a predicted model, not a curated record. Lineage: Eukaryota; Metazoa; Chordata; Mammalia; Artiodactyla; Bovidae. The transcript has 3 exons.
AAGUGGGCAUGUCGGGGGAGAGAGCCCUGGGCAGAGAGAACUAGAGCAAAGGGUCUAAGGCAGGGUGGACAGGAUGAUGGGGGAGGCGGUCACAAGAAGAGGGACAGAGAAGUAAGGACAGAGGGAACACAGGCCAGAUGGGCUUGAGGCCAAACCCAGAAAGAAGAGAGAAGACAAACUGAAGCAAGUUCUCUAAACCUUCUGAUUAAUAGUUACUGAACUCCAUUAUUCUCCAAAAAAGUCCUGUGUGGACAUGGGAGCAACUAAAUGUCCAUCAAGAGAGGAAUGGAUAAAGAAGAUGUGGCAUAUAUAUACAGUGAAAUAUUGCUCAGCCAUAAGAAGGAACAAAAUUGUGUCAUUUACAGAGAGGUGGAUGGAUCUAGAGACUUUCACAUAGAGUGAAAGUCUGGAAAUGACCACUGUGUUCUCACUACCUCUCAGAGACAAUGGAGAAGAUGGAUAGAGAUGCAACUCAUUUCUACAGGAUGGAAGGAAAUGAUACAAACUGUACGAAGUGCAAUUAAAGUAAGAUAUUAGAAGAAACUAA